This 262-nucleotide ribosomal RNA is filed under the name uncultured Oscillibacter sp. RNAcentral describes it as "partial 16S ribosomal RNA". It matches the Rfam family "Bacterial small subunit ribosomal RNA", at positions 78 to 339 of the family's 1533-position model. The record is from RNAcentral. Lineage: Bacteria; Bacillati; Bacillota; Clostridia; Eubacteriales; Oscillospiraceae.
AAUUGAAGCAGAGGACAGUGGCGGACGGGUGAGUAACGCGUGAGGAACCUGCCUUUCAGAGGGGGACAACAGUUGGAAACGACUGCUAAUACCGCAUGACACAUCGGGGUCGGCAUGGCUCUGAUGUCAAAGAUUUAUCGCUGAAAGAUGGCCUCGCGUCUGAUUAGCUAGUUGGUGAGGUAACGGCCCACCAAGGCGACGAUCAGUAGCCGGACUGAGAGGUUGACCGGCCACAUUGGGACUGAGAUACGGCCCAGACUCC